Molecule: ribosomal RNA, 253 nt
Filed under: uncultured bacterium
Lineage: Bacteria
Description: partial 16S ribosomal RNA
Rfam family: Bacterial small subunit ribosomal RNA
Source: RNAcentral
UACGUAGGGUGCAAGCGUUGUCCGGAAUUAUUGGGCGUAAAGAGCUCGUAGGCGGUCUGUCGCGUCUGCUGUGAAAACUCAGGGCUUAACCCUGAGCUUGCAGUGGGUACGGGCAGACUAGAGUGCGGUAGGGGAGACUGGAAUUCCUGGUGUAGCGAUGAAAUGCGCAGAUAUCAGGAGGAACACCGGUGGCGAAGGCGGGUCUCUGGGCCGUAACUGACGCUGAGGAGCGAAAGCAUGGGGAGCGAACAGG